RNAcentral lists this unclassified non-coding RNA (451 nucleotides) under Hevea brasiliensis (rubber tree). The record is from RNAcentral. Lineage: Eukaryota; Viridiplantae; Streptophyta; Magnoliopsida; Malpighiales; Euphorbiaceae.
AAAUUUAUGAUUGUUUCAAUCUGAGUUUUUCAUCCUAGCUUCUUUUCAAUUCUUUAACCCUGCGGCAUUUAGAACAUUUUCUUUUCAGCUAGGACUGUAGUUAGCCUGAAAGUUGUCAACAUAUUGUGGUGAUUGAUUCAUUUGCCAUUUGCAUUCAGUUUUGGUUGAUGCUCCACGCCUUCCCUAUGUUAUUUUCUCUUAGAAGUAGUCUGCCAUGUAUUUGUGAUCGUACUAACCCAAUUUUGACUGGCUAGGCAUGUGAAGUAAUGGAAGUUUGUGGAUUUAUGUAUUGAAUGUUCAUGCUUGGUGCGCAUAUUCUAGUGUCACGCUGGCAGGCUCUGAUGCCAUUUUUAGCUGAGGAAAAACUAAGCCUCAUAUAAAUUAUAAUAAAUGUGAAUUCAAUUUUUUGAGAUUGAGCCAUCUCAUAUAGCUUGUCUUUUUUAAACCUGAA